UCACCCAUAACAUAGCACAACAGGUAACAACAAAAAAUUACUAAGGUACAACUUAUACAUUCAUUCUAGUAAAGUAGCUAAACUGUAAAUACAACAAAUGCAACAAAAUCCAGGCUCUAAAAUUCUUAACUAACAAGCUCAUUUGUAGGUUCCCAUACCUACACCAGUCUCCCCGCCACCAUAAGGUUGGAAGCUUUCCCUGGCACUUGAGUAGUUGAUGUAGUAGAAUUCAGAAAUAAUGGCAGUGAAGAAAACAAAAGCAGCACCAGCAGCAAAAACUCCCUUCCUAACUGUUUCACAUGAUGGGCUUUUGUCCCCAAAGUAGGUCCUGUAC
RNAcentral lists this long non-coding RNA (334 nucleotides) under Phaseolus vulgaris (common bean). RNAcentral describes it as "long non-coding RNA (PVUL_LNC003020)". Lineage: Eukaryota; Viridiplantae; Streptophyta; Magnoliopsida; Fabales; Fabaceae. The record is from RNAcentral.